This 459-nucleotide ribosomal RNA is filed under the name uncultured bacterium. RNAcentral describes it as "partial 16S ribosomal RNA". It matches the Rfam family "Bacterial small subunit ribosomal RNA", at positions 338 to 795 of the family's 1533-position model. The record is from RNAcentral.
CCUACGGGAGGCAGCAGUGAGGAAUAUUGGUCAAUGGCCGCAGGGCUGAACCAGCCAAGUCGCGUGAGGGAUGACGGUCCUCGGGAUGGUAAGCCUCUUUUGUCAGGGAGCAAAGGGCGCCACGUGUGGCGCUUUGCGAGUACCUGAAGAACAAGCAUCGGCUAACUCCGUGCCAGCCGCCGCGGUAAUACGGAGGAUGCGAGCGUUAUCCGGAUUUAUUGGGUUAAAAGGGUGCGCAGGCGGAAGGUCAAGUCAGCGGUAAAAUUUCGGGGCUCAACCCCGUCGUGCCGUUGAAACUGGCGUUCUUGAGUGAGCGAGAAGUAUGCGGAAUGCGUGGUGUAGCGGUGAAAUGCAUAGAUAUCACGCAGAACUCCGAUUGCGAAGGCAGCAUACCGGCGCUCAACUGACGCUCAUGCACGAAAGCGUGGGUAUCGAACAGGAUUAGAUACCCGGGUAGUC